UCAUCGGUAGAUCAGGCAUGCAAAUCUGGUCACCACGACCACAAGAACACCCUAGGCAAUCUAUCAUCGAUUCAUAGAUUGAAAAACAAGCAAACCUAAUAAAGCAUAAAACCAUCAAAGAAGAUACUUAGAUUGCUAAGAACAUAAUCACAUAUAUUACUUCACCACGAAUAAUUGUACAUCACAAAAUCACCACCAGAAUCCUACCUUGAUCUUGAUGACUUCUAGCUCCAGAACUUCA
This 241-nucleotide long non-coding RNA is filed under the name Setaria viridis. RNAcentral describes it as "long non-coding RNA (SVIR_LNC008778)". Lineage: Eukaryota; Viridiplantae; Streptophyta; Magnoliopsida; Poales; Poaceae. The record is from RNAcentral.